RNAcentral lists this ribosomal RNA (429 nucleotides) under Penicillium crustosum. Its description in RNAcentral is "eukaryotic LSU rRNA". The stretch from base 86 to 239 matches the Rfam family "5.8S ribosomal RNA". The record is from RNAcentral. Lineage: Eukaryota; Fungi; Ascomycota; Eurotiomycetes; Eurotiales; Aspergillaceae.
GCCUCGGCGGGCCCCGCGCCCGCCGACGGCCCCCCCUGAACGCUGUCUGAAGUUGCAGUCUGAGACCUAUAACGAAAUUAGUUAAAACUUUCAACAACGGAUCUCUUGGUUCCGGCAUCGAUGAAGAACGCAGCGAAAUGCGAUAACUAAUGUGAAUUGCAGAAUUCAGUGAAUCAUCGAGUCUUUGAACGCACAUUGCGCCCUCUGGUAUUCCGGAGGGCAUGCCUGUCCGAGCGUCAUUGCUGCCCUCAAGCCCGGCUUGUCGUGUUGGGCCCCGUCCCCCCCGCCGGGGGGACGGGCCCGAAAGGCAGCGGCGGCACCGCGUCCGGUCCUCGAGCGUAUGGGGCUUCGUCACCCGCUCUAGUAGGCCCGGCCGGCGCCAGCCGACCCCCAACCUUUAAUUAUCUCAGGUGACCUCGGAUCAGGUAG